This 630-nucleotide ribosomal RNA is filed under the name uncultured Lachnospiraceae bacterium. Its description in RNAcentral is "bacterial SSU rRNA". It matches the Rfam family "Bacterial small subunit ribosomal RNA", at positions 75 to 722 of the family's 1533-position model. The record is from RNAcentral. Lineage: Bacteria; Bacillati; Bacillota; Clostridia; Lachnospirales; Lachnospiraceae.
GGAUGAAGGUCUGGUGACUGAGUGGCGGACGGGUGAGUAACGCGUGGGUAACCUGCCCUGUACAGGGGGAUAACAGCUGGAAACGGCUGCUAAUACCGCAUAAGCGCACGAGGAGACAUCUCCUAGUGUGAAAAACUCCGGUGGUACAGGAUGGGCCCGCGUCUGAUUAGCUGGUUGGCAGGGUAACGGCCUACCAAGGCAACGAUCAGUAGCCGGUCUGAGAGGAUGAACGGCCACAUUGGAACUGAGACACGGUCCAAACUCCUACGGGAGGCAGCAGUGGGGAAUAUUGCACAAUGGGGGAAACCCUGAUGCAGCAACGCCGCGUGAGUGAAGAAGUAUUUCGGUAUGUAAAGCUCUAUCAGCAGGGAAGAUAAUGACGGUACCUGACUAAGAAGCUCCGGCUAAAUACGUGCCAGCAGCCGCGGUAAUACGUAUGGAGCAAGCGUUAUCCGGAUUUACUGGGUGUAAAGGGUGCGUAGGUGGCAGUGCAAGUCAGAUGUGAAAGGCCGGGGCUCAACCCCGGAGCUGCAUUUGAAACUGCUCGGCUAGAGUACAGGAGAGGCAGGCGGAAUUCCUAGUGUAGCGGUGAAAUGCGUAGAUAUUAGGAGGAACACCAGUGGCGAAGGC